CUUUUCUGACAUGGAAGCUCUCCCAGACUCAGAGAUUCAGCUUUCUCCAUCUCUGCUGCCCUUUCCAUCACUCCUCCAUAUCUCCUUCUUGGGUUUUCAAUUUGAAAUAUCCGCCCUGAGUCUGAACAUCCAAGACAUAAUGGACUUGCCUGUCGGGCUGUAGGGGGCAUCAUCAGAACUUUUUCUUUUCUUUGAUCGUGAUUUGAAUACUGGAUUAUCUUCAUCGGAUUCCAAAGAUGGGUAAACUAAACCAGGAACAAAAAAAUAGCUUUUAUUGCAGCAGUAUUAAACAGGAGUUUGAGGGAGGGGAAAAAACAAGGCUGGAUUAAAGCACAAGCUCACUGCAGGCCAGUGCCGAGGACUCCUGCUCCUGGACUGAUGUGAUCACAUCAGAAUCUCAACUUCAUUUUAAAAAAGGCAAGAACAGGGAUUCAGAAUUGCUGCUUUCUGUAGACUACAAUGGACUUCUUACUCCCCCCGAUCCCAAUAUAUGCUCCUGGAACAGAAGUCAGGAUCUACUGAAAAGGAAGAGGAAGGAAGGCCUUCCUUACGCUUGAGUACCGGCUGAAAGGACUGCUAUAUCAGGAGGUCAGAGCUGCUUGGAAGAGAGCUGAGGACAUGAGGAAGUGGACUGUGCCAGGGUGGAGUGAAGAGAUGGGCCCCCUCCUGAAGUCAAUGGGCCGGAGACCCAGAGCCUGUAUCUGCUCAAGCAGGCUCACUGGGGCUGAAAUCUGAUGAACAGGGCUGCUCUGCAGUGGAGCCAAAGCAGGGAGGCCCCACGCAGUGACCCAAACACACCAGGAUUCAACUGGGUUUUGACUCCCUUGGAACUAGAGAGAAAAAUAUUAUAAAAUCCGAAAUGAAAACAUUUUCACACGGAAAACAUAUCAAGGAGAUACACAGCCACAUAUCAAGGCCUGCAAUAAAAUGAACUGUGGAGGAGGACGAGACAAAAGAGGAAAAGAAAGGGAGACGAGGAGGACAAAGCAAGAGGAGAGAAGAUGAGAAGGGCACCCGAUCAACUACAAAUGGCACACAGGGAUAGAUCACAGUGCAGAAUCAGGCAGAAUGUGUCUCUCUAAAGAGCAUAUACAGUGUGUUCGGAUACACACCCUGAAGGGCGGAAUAGCUCCAGUUAAAUGCUGCACUGACUACCAGUUCCAGUAUUUUUUUAACAUGUAUAUUAUUUACUCAGUGAUCCAGGUCUCAUUUAAUUAGGUAAAUAUUAGAACCAUGCCAGAAAAUAGGGGACUUUUUCUUUUACUACUGAGAAAAGUGGGAUUCAAAAAAGCGUUAAUGAAAAAAUACUGGUGUUUUAGCCUAAGGCAAGUUUUUACAGCCAAGAUAUAAACUACCGUUAAUAGAGAUUUAUAAUUGACACAUUCUAACUAGAGUACCAAUGUAAAACGAUACAUAUACAAAUUAAUCUGAACUGCUACUAUCUCUGUAAAACCACUACUAGGGAUCCGAUUUCAUGACUAAGAAAUAUUUUAAGCAUAUUGUAGAUAGAAUUUACUUACGGUACUUAAAAAUAAUAAAAACGUAAGCACAAUUUUUACUUUUGAACAUAAGGACAAGUUUGUCACCUCCCUGUCUACACCCCUCCCCCCCAAUAUAGUACAUUUAUCCUUUAUAAUUCAAUGUGUAUUGCCACAUUUUUACUUACCCGAGCA
This is a long non-coding RNA of Chrysemys picta bellii (western painted turtle), 1673 nucleotides long. RefSeq lists it as uncharacterized. NCBI's taxonomy places the organism in Eukaryota, Metazoa, Chordata, Testudines, Emydidae. The record is from RefSeq and is a predicted model, not a curated record.